UAUUGAUAAAGGGAUCCCUCCAACUCUCACUCCAGUAUCCUUUUCUUUCCCUAGAACUACUCAACGAACUCCAUGUUCCUUAAUGUUUAAAGGGAGCAAAUACCUCCCCGACACCCCCAAAGAAUGUAAGCUUUCAUUAUUUUUGAACAAGGGAUGGAGCGGAAGACAAGGGGAUACAGAUCUCACACUCAAGGGAACUUCUCCACACUCAAAACCUAUAGUUGAAGUCUACAGUCAAGACUGCACAGCUAACCUCUGAAGAUGCUCGAAGAAAACUUGAAGGCUCACAUCAUCCGUGAAUAUUAUAUCUGACCCAGCAGCCAUCUCAUUGGCAUUAUUGUAUGUAGCUGAUGGGUUCAACUUUGCCAAUAAGAACCUUGCCUGAUAAGGUGACAUGAGAUAAUGAGAUCGAGCAAGUUUCUAUGAAAUAGUUAACCUUCCAGUUCACUAGUGCAACAGUGGACGCCCAAUGUGGAAUUAACAAAAAAUUUUU
This is a long non-coding RNA of Populus trichocarpa (black cottonwood), 493 nucleotides long. RefSeq lists it as uncharacterized. The record is from RefSeq and is a predicted model, not a curated record. NCBI's taxonomy places the organism in Eukaryota, Viridiplantae, Streptophyta, Magnoliopsida, Malpighiales, Salicaceae. The transcript is spliced from 2 exons.